AACGAACGCUGGCGGCAUGCCUAACACAUGCAAGUCGAACGAGACCUUCGGGUCUAGUGGCGCACGGGUGCGUAACGCGUGGGAAUCUGCCCUUGGGUUCGGAAUAACAGCGAGAAAUUGCUGCUAAUACCGGAUGAUGACGUAAGUCCAAAGAUUUAUCGCCCAAGGAUGAGCCCGCGUAGGAUUAGCUUGUUGGUGAGGUAAAAGCUCACCAAGGCGACGAUCCUUAGCUGGUCUGAGAGGAUGAUCAGCCACACUGGGACUGAGACACGGCCCAGACUCCUACGGGAGGCAUCAGUGGGGAAUAUUGGACAAUGGGCGAAAGCCUGAUCCAGCAAUGCCGCGUGAGUGAUGAAGGCCUUAGGGUUGUAAAGCUCUUUUACCCGGGAUGAUAAUGACAGUACCGGGAGAAUAAGCCCCGGCUAACCUCCGUGCCAGCAGCCGCGGUAAU
RNAcentral lists this ribosomal RNA (451 nucleotides) under uncultured bacterium. RNAcentral's name for it is "bacterial SSU rRNA". It matches the Rfam family "Bacterial small subunit ribosomal RNA", at positions 29 to 524 of the family's 1533-position model. The record is from RNAcentral.